Long non-coding RNA from Salvia miltiorrhiza (redroot sage), 1447 nucleotides. RefSeq lists it as uncharacterized. The transcript is spliced from 2 exons. NCBI's taxonomy places the organism in Eukaryota, Viridiplantae, Streptophyta, Magnoliopsida, Lamiales, Lamiaceae. The record is from RefSeq and is a predicted model, not a curated record.
UACAUCUUGUGCAAUAUCUCACAUUCUCCAAUAUACAUCACUAUAGAAACAUACAUGUUCUCCACGAAAACACAUUCAAUUCAUCACUCUAUUUCACGAGAGCUCUUUCUCAAGCUUUAUUCAAUCCUUGCCGAAGGAGACGUGCGCGCUCUUCCCAAGCCACCAUUCUCAUUAAUUUGGACAAGUUUGAAGGUUUCAACUUAAGCAGUCAGUUAAUGACAAAGAUGACUGAUUGGUGGCCCUUUUGCCAAAGGUAUUGCUUUUGAUGGUCCUUGCCAUUUUAUUACUAGUAGAGAAUUAGUGGCCCUUGUUUACAUACACUUGUGUUUCUUUGUGGGGUAUCCCGAUUUGGUCUUGAUUGGAGGUAUGUGCUUUAAUUGCUGCAAAAUAAUAUGAAAUAAAGCCUUCGUAUCUUUAGAUUUUGUAAUGAUCAUUGUCUUGUAGUGCUGGUAGUUUUUCGGUUUCCUGUUAUAUUCUCUCCUUUUGCGGUGUGUCUAAAUUGAUGGCUGCAACUUGUUUGGUACGUGCUGUUAUUGGAGGCUAGCUUUUUUGAAAUAUGCUUUUUCUCAGUCUUCGAGAGGUUUCCAGGUUAGAAUUUUCCAUGAGAUUGAAUUUGUUGGUUGUGGAGCAUUCAAAACGUAGGCUCUUAUAUAUGUCGUGCCUUUUCUCACGUUUAUUAAUUGCGACAGGAACUCAUAUCUGUAUUUGGAGACUCUAAUUUCUUUGUUGAAUAAGCUCUUCUUGUAAGCAUCUAAUAAUUAAUGGCAUGAGGAUCUACUAUUAGACUUUCAAGAUUGACUUUGUUGCUGAUGAUGCUGGAUAUCUUAGAAUCUAUUCUGGGAUUAACUUUGUUGCUUGUCGUGAGAUAUUUGUUCUUGUAGAAGUGAGAUCCAAUUCUUGGCUAAGCUUAUCCUAGAAUGAAAUGGUAUGUUUUGUCCACUACUUGUGAGCUUUUCAUAUCUGUGGCUGAGAACUCAUUGUAGAGUUUGUUCUGUUUUAGCAUUUGGUAUUGUAGAGCUUUCAAUAUUGUGGAUUGUGGUUGCUAUGCUAUAUUACUUUAUAAACUGCUGGGAUUUGGAUGAAGUUGUAGACGUCUUCGUAUAUUGAAGAUAAGCACUGUGUUUAUAUGCAAUAAUAUGGCCCCAAUAGAUGCUUGGCUUACUUUGGUUAGUUGUAUUAUGUACUAUGUGAAGUAAAAAAAUUGAUCUUCUCUUUGUUUAUUUUUUCAUACCCUUGCUUUUGACAUGACGUAGUAGUAAUUUUUUUUUGAUAAAUUACAUAAGUAAAUAAAACGGCAGGUUUUGGACAUUAAUUACCUACCGCUAAGACAACACACACGCGCGAGCACACAUUGUAGUAACUUGAUGCUAUAAAUAAUGUAUGAUGUGUAUAUUUGAUCCAAAUGCAGAAUUCCACCCAUCUUUUUUGGGUUUGUUUCUUUUUUUCA